GAUGAAGAACGCAGCGAAACGCGAUAAGUAAUGUGAAUUGCAGAAUCCAGUGAAUCAUCGAAUCUUUGAACGCACAUUGCGCCCGCCAGCAUUCUGGCGGGCAUGCCUGUUCGAGCGUCACUUCAACCCUCGACCUCCCCUUGGGGAGGUCGGCGUUGGGGACCGGCAGCACACCGCCGGCCCUGAAAUGGAGUGGCGGCCCGUCCGCGGCGACCUCUGCGCAGUAAUACAGCUCGCACCGGGACCCCGACGCGGCCACGCCGUAAAACACCCAACUUCUGAACGUUGACCUCGAAUCAGGUAGGACUACCCGCUGAACUUAAGCAUAUCAAUAAGCGGAGGA
Molecule: unclassified non-coding RNA, 343 nt
Filed under: soil metagenome
Description: partial contains 5.8S ribosomal RNA, internal transcribed spacer 2, and large subunit ribosomal RNA
Rfam family: 5.8S ribosomal RNA (bases 1-120)
Source: RNAcentral